AGUUUGAUCCUGGCUCAGGAUGAACGCUAGCUACAGGCUUAACACAUGCAAGUCGAGGGGCAGCAUUGGGGUAGCAAUACUUCAGAUGGCGACCGGCGCACGGGUGAGUAACACGUAUCCAACCUGCCGCUUACUCGGGGAUAGCCUUUCGAAAGAAAGAUUAAUACCCGAUGGUAUAAAGAGUUCGCAUGUUCUCUUUAUUAAAGAAUUUUGGUAAGCGAUGGGGAUGCGUUCCAUUAGAUAGUUGGCGGGGUAACGGCCCACCAAGUCUACGAUGGAUAGGGGUUCUGAGAGGAAGGUCCCCCACAUUGGAACUGAGACACGGUNCCAAACUCCUACGGGAGGCAGCAGUGAGGAAUAUUGGUCAAUGGACGAGAGUCUGAACCAGCCAAGUAGCGUGAAGGAUGACUGCCCUAUGGGUUGUAAACUUCUUUUAUAAGGGAAUAAAGUGAGGGACGUGUCCCUUUUUGUAUGUACCUUAUGAAUAAGGAUCGGCUAACUCCGUGCCAGCAGCCGCGGUAAUACGGAGGAUCCAAGCGUUAUCCGGAUUUAUUGGGUUUAAAGGGAGCGUAGGUUGACAUAUAAGUCAGCUGUGAAAGUUUACGGCUCAACCGUGAAAUUGCAGUUGAUACUGUAUGUCUUGAGUGUACAAGAGGUGGGCGGAAUUCGUGGUGUAGCGGUGAAAUGCUUAGAUAUCACGAAGAACUCCAAUUGCGAAGGCAGCUCACUGGGGUACAACUGACACUGAGGCUCGAAAGUGUGGGUAUCAAACAGGAUUAGAUACCCUGGUAGUCCACACAGUAAACGAUGAAUACUCGCUGUUUGCGAUAUACAGUAAGCGGCCAAGCGAAAGCAUUAAGUAUUCCACCUGGGGAGUACGCCGGCAACGGUGAAACUCAAAGGAAUUGACGGGGGCCCGCACAAGCGGAGGAACAUGUGGUUUAAUUCGAUGAUACGCGAGGAACCUUACCCGGGCUUGAAUUGCAGAGGAACAUAGUUGAAAGAUUAUGGCCGCAAGGUCUCUGUGAAGGUGCUGCAUGGUUGUCGUCAGCUCGUGCCGUGAGGUGUCGGCUUAAGUGCCAUAACGGGCGCAACCCUUAUCAUUAGUUACUAACAGGUCAUGCUGAGGACUCUAGUGAGACUGCCGUCGUAAGAUGUGAGGAAGG
This 1166-nucleotide ribosomal RNA is filed under the name uncultured Bacteroides sp. RNAcentral's name for it is "bacterial SSU rRNA". It matches the Rfam family "Bacterial small subunit ribosomal RNA", at positions 10 to 1173 of the family's 1533-position model. The record is from RNAcentral. Lineage: Bacteria; Pseudomonadati; Bacteroidota; Bacteroidia; Bacteroidales; Bacteroidaceae.